Molecule: ribosomal RNA, 484 nt
Filed under: uncultured bacterium
Lineage: Bacteria
Description: partial 16S ribosomal RNA
Rfam family: Bacterial small subunit ribosomal RNA
Source: RNAcentral
AACGAACGCUGGCGGCGCGUCUUAAACAUGCAAGUCGAACGAUCUGUAGCAAUACAGGGAGUGGCGGACGGGUGAGGAACACGUAGGAAUCUACCUAGAAGAGCGGGACAACCCUGGGAAACCGGGGCUAAUACCGCAUAGUACAGUGAUGUUAAAGGGCUAGCAAUAGUCGCUUCUAGAUGAGCCUGCGGUCUAUCAGCUUGUUGGCGGGGUAACGGCCCACCAAGGCGACGACGGAUAGCCGGUCUGAGAGGAUGAUCGGCCACACUGGCACUGAGACACGGGCCAGACUCCUACGGGAGGCAGCAGUUAAGAAUCUUGCGCAAUGGACGAAAGUCUGACGCAGCGACGCCGCGUGAAGGAUGAAGGCUUUCGGGUUGUAAACUUCGGUAGACUGGGAAGAAAAAGUAAGUUCGUUGAGGGCUUACAGUGACGGUACCUGACUAAGAAGCUCCGGCUAAAUACGUGCCAGCCGCCGCCGUAA